Molecule: ribosomal RNA, 378 nt
Filed under: Ehrlichia canis
Lineage: Bacteria; Pseudomonadati; Pseudomonadota; Alphaproteobacteria; Rickettsiales; Anaplasmataceae
Description: bacterial SSU rRNA
Rfam family: Bacterial small subunit ribosomal RNA
Source: RNAcentral
AACGCUGGCGGCAAGCCUAACACAUGCAAGUCGAACGGUCAAUUAUUUAUAGCCUCUGGCUAUAGGAAAUUGUUAGUGGCAGACGGGUGAGUAAUGCGUAGGAAUCUACCUAGUAGUACGGAAUAGCCAUUAGAAAUGGUGGGUAAUACUGUAUAAUCCCCGAGGGGGAAAGAUUUAUCGCUAUUAGAUGAGCCUACGUUAGAUUAGCUAGUUGGUGAGGUAAUGGCUUACCAAGGCUAUGAUCUAUAGCUGGUCUGAGAGGACGAUCAGCCACACUGGAACUGAGAUACGGUCCAGACUCCUACGGGAGGCAGCAGUGGGGAAUAUUGGACAAUGGGCGAAAGCCUGAUCCAGCUAUGCCGCGUGAGUGAAGAAGGC